Molecule: ribosomal RNA, 459 nt
Filed under: uncultured Treponema sp.
Lineage: Bacteria; Pseudomonadati; Spirochaetota; Spirochaetia; Treponematales; Treponemataceae
Description: bacterial SSU rRNA
Rfam family: Bacterial small subunit ribosomal RNA
Source: RNAcentral
ACGGAAGGCAGCAGCUAAGAAUAUUCCGCAAUGGACGAAAGUCUGACGGAGCGACGCCGCGUGGAUGAUGAAGGCCGGAAGGUUGUAAAAUCCUUUUAAGCAUGAAGAAUAAGCGGUGUAGGUAAUGACAUUGUGGUGACGGUAGUGCUUGAAUAAGCAACGGCUAAUUACGUGCCAGCGGCCGCGGUAAUACGUAAGUUGCGAGCGUUGUUCGGAAUUAUUGGGCGUAAAGGGCAUGUAGGCGGAUAUGCAAGCUUGGUGUGAAAGGCGGGAGCUCAACUCCCGAACUGCGUUGAGAACUGCAUAACUAGAGUGACUGAGGGGCAGGCAGAAUUCCAGGUGUAGGGGUGAAAUCUGUAGAUAUCUGGAAGAAUACCAAUGGCGAAGGCAGCCUGCCAGCAGAUGACUGACGCUGAGGUGCGAAGGUGCGGGGAGCAAACAGGAUUAGAUACCCUGGUA